AUGUCGCCUGACCUGAAGACCAUUGUGACUCAGUGUUGGCUGAUCUCUGCUCCUCCAAGGGUGAUUCCCCAGCUUGGGGCAAAGCGGAGGGGAGGCCUGCUUCAAAGCCUCUCUCAGCCUGUGGAAAAGCAUAGUCUGGAGUGGGGCGGCUGCCAAGUCCACCACAUGAAUGUUCGUUUUGCUUGGCUUGUGGUCAAGCAACAGCAAAAAAACAGGCCUCCUUCAGCACAUGGAAUAGAAAUGCUGCCCUACUUAUUUCUUACCAACCUGCAGAACUUUGAGCAGAGUUUAUAGUUAACACUUACAUAAUCCAGAAAUUCAAUUCUUGCUGAAAAUGAGAUGGUGAGAAUAAUGGGAUUUUGAUUCAGAAUUUUCUAAAGCAAUAACCCUUAUGAAUUAUAAUAUCUAUAUUUACUAUUCUUCAAAGGAAAGAAAAUUACAUAUUUGGAGCCUUCCGAGACAAUUUUAACUUCUCUUUUCUUGCUGUUUGUGACAAUGUCCUUUCUUCUUAAGUUUGGUCACCUGUGAAUAAUAGAACAGAGGGAUGAAGAGUGUCUUUAUAAUUAUAUACACAAUCUCUAGAACAUCCUUAAACCUGUUGCUCCUGGUUCUCCUAAGAAGAAAAUGUUGGCAUCUCUUAAAAGAAUCAUGUGUGCCAAUCUUCCUAGACAUCUUCUUUUCUUUUUUUAUGAGCCAUAAUCUUUAUUUUCCUAUACACUGAUGUUUUCUAAGCAAAUCUAAUAAAAAUAACGGAAGAGUGAAUAAGAAAUAGGAC
This 775-nucleotide long non-coding RNA is filed under the name Vulpes vulpes (red fox). RNAcentral's name for it is "lncRNA (ENSVVUG00000000606.1)". Lineage: Eukaryota; Metazoa; Chordata; Mammalia; Carnivora; Canidae. The record is from RNAcentral.